RNAcentral lists this ribosomal RNA (333 nucleotides) under uncultured bacterium. RNAcentral's name for it is "bacterial SSU rRNA". It matches the Rfam family "Bacterial small subunit ribosomal RNA", at positions 568 to 898 of the family's 1533-position model. The record is from RNAcentral.
CGCGUAGGCGGCCUAUUAAGUCGGUUGUGAAAUCUCUCGGCUUAACUGAGAGGGGUCAACCGAAACUGGUGGGCUUGAGGACAGCAGAGGGAAGUGGAAUUCCCGGUGUAGUGGUGAAAUGCGUAGAUAUCGGGAGGAACACCAGUGGCGAAGGCGGCUUCCUGGGCUGUCCCUGACGCUGAGGCGCGAAAGCGUGGGUAGCAAACAGGAUUAGAUACCCUGGUAGUCCACGCCGUAAACUAUGGACACUAGGUAUGGGGGGUAUCGGACCCCUUCCGUGCCGAAGUUAACGCUAUAAGUGUCCCGCCUGGGGAGUACGGCCGCAAGGCUAAA